GAUGAACGCUAGCGGGAGCUUAAACAUGCAAGUCGAGGGGCAGCAUAGGGUAGCAAUACUCUGAUGGCGACCGGCAAACGGGUGAGUAACGCGUAUGCAACCUACCCUGUACAGGGGGAUAACCCGGAGAAAUUCGGACUAAUAUCCCGUAAUAAUAUCCGGAGGCAUCUUUGGAUAUUUAAAGUUCCGACGGUACGGGAUGGGCAUGCGUAACAUUAGCUGGUUGGUAAGGUAACGGCUUACCAAGGCUAUGAUGUUUAGGGGUCCUGAGAGGGUGGUCCCCCACACUGGUACUGAGACACGGACCAGACUCCUACGGGAGGCAGCAGUGAGGAAUAUUGGUCAAUGGGCGCAAGCCUGAACCAGCCAUCCCGCGUGCAGGAAGACGGCCCUAUGGGUUGUAAACUGCUUUUCCAGGGAGAGAAACUUACGCACGUGUUGCGUGACUGACGGUACCCUGGGAAUAAGCAUCGGCUAACUCCGUG
Molecule: ribosomal RNA, 485 nt
Filed under: uncultured bacterium
Lineage: Bacteria
Description: bacterial SSU rRNA
Rfam family: Bacterial small subunit ribosomal RNA
Source: RNAcentral